RNAcentral lists this ribosomal RNA (80 nucleotides) under Amphidinium massartii. Its description in RNAcentral is "partial Eukaryotic large subunit ribosomal RNA". The record is from RNAcentral. Lineage: Eukaryota; Dinophyceae; Amphidiniales; Amphidiniaceae.
CUACCUGCUAGCUAGCAAAACCGCAGCCAGGGAACGGGUUUGGAAGAAUCACAGGACAAAGAAGACCCUGUUGGGCUUUG